Molecule: ribosomal RNA, 253 nt
Filed under: uncultured bacterium
Lineage: Bacteria
Description: partial 16S ribosomal RNA
Rfam family: Bacterial small subunit ribosomal RNA
Source: RNAcentral
UACGUAGGGGGCAAGCGUUGUCCGGAAUCAUUGGGCGUAAAGAGCGUGUAGGCGGUCCGGUAAGUCGGCUGUGAAAGUCCAGGGCUCAACCCUGGGAUGCCGGUCGAUACUGCCGGACUAGAGUUCGGAAGAGGCGAGUGGAAUUCCCGGUGUAGCGGUGAAAUGCGCAGAUAUUGGGAAGAACACCAGUGGCGAAGGCGGCUAACUGGUCCAGAUCUGACGCUGAGGUGCGAAAGCGUGGGGAGCAAACAGG